UUUCAAGCACCAAUAGAGAUGUGUGUAGUGAUGGCUCAUGCAUGGCUUUUCCAGCUGCUCUUCCAGAGGAAUUGUCCAGAAGCCCUCGACGGAGGAGAAGCUGGCAGAGGUGGACCUGCUCAGCCUGAACAUCCUUCUAAGCAAACAUGAACAGUCCUCAGCUUUCUGCCUCCCGCUUUACUGGCUGUGAGUAAGAGUGCCGAGGGAAAUGAAGUCACACGUCAGAUUCUAUUGCCCUCAUGCGAUGGAAAGUGAGUGAGAGCAGCGAGUCUGUGAGCAUUGUUCAUGCCAGGCAAGAGCCGUCCAUUUGGGAGCCAAGCUGACGCCACCGACACUGAGAUACGUUUCUGUUUUGUUGAGGGUUCUGCUCACGCUCCAUCUGACUCCAGUUUGCAGAGGAAUCAUCCAGGAGUCCUCGCCGGACGAGAAUAUGCAGAACUGGACCUGAGCAGCCUGGACAUACUUCUAAGGAGACAUGAAUAGUACUCAGAUUUCUUCCUU
This is a long non-coding RNA of Mauremys reevesii (Reeves's turtle), 501 nucleotides long. RefSeq lists it as uncharacterized. The transcript is spliced from 3 exons. Lineage: Eukaryota; Metazoa; Chordata; Testudines; Geoemydidae. The record is from RefSeq and is a predicted model, not a curated record.